GAUGGAAGAAAAAUCAGCUGCUGCUUUAACCUGCUUUCUGUUUUCAGCUCAGACUCUCGGUGCUGCCACCUGCUGGACUGGCUGAACACCUGAGUCUCUAGACCUGGUCCAGGACCAUCACACUGUAAACCACAAUCCUGUUCAUUGGUCAGGUCUGAUCUGGACUGUGGUGUCUCAGCUGUACUCUGACGGUCCUGGAUCAGGUCUGCUCUGGACUGUGGUGUCUCAGCUGGACACUGACGGUCCUGGAUCAGGUCUGAUCUGGACUGUGGUGUCUCAGCUGGACACUGACAGUCCUGGAUCAGGUCUGAUCUGGACUCUGGUGUCUCAGCUGGACACUGACGGUCCUGGAUCAGGUCUGAUCUGGACUGUGGUGUCUCAGCUGGACCUGAGCUCUGCUUCACCUGCUGCUUCACUGUGUGAAUCACUGUUUUCCUCAGUGGUUCUGGUCUCUAAUCGAAUCUGAUCCAGUUUGAUUGAUUCUGUAUUUUUCUGCUGUAACAACAAUAAACAUCAGAAACUCUGAGA
Molecule: long non-coding RNA, 528 nt
Organism: Seriola dumerili (greater amberjack)
Lineage: Eukaryota; Metazoa; Chordata; Actinopteri; Carangiformes; Carangidae
Exons: 2
Source: RefSeq, a predicted model, not a curated record